UCCGAGUUGACCCCGGCAGUCUCCUAUGAGUCCCCACCAUAACGUGCUGGCAACAUAGGAUAAGGGUUGCGCUCGUUGCGGGACUUAACCCAACAUCUCACGACACGAGCUGACGACAGCCAUGCACCACCUGUGAUCCUGCCCCGAAGGGAAGCCCCGUUUCCGGAGCGGUCAGGAACAUGUCAAGCCCAGGUAAGGUUCUUCGCGUUGCGUCGAAUUAAACCACAUGCUCCGCUGCUUGUGCGGGCCCCCGUCAAUUCCAUUGAGUUUUAGCCUUGCGGCCGUACUCCCCAGGCGGGGUGCUUAAUGCGUUAGCUUCGGCACGGAAGGGGUUGAUCGUCCCCCCACACCUAGCACCCAACGUUUACGGCUGGGACUAC
RNAcentral lists this unclassified non-coding RNA (380 nucleotides) under uncultured Actinomycetes bacterium. Its description in RNAcentral is "uncultured actinobacterium contains 16S-23S intergenic spacer region". The record is from RNAcentral. Lineage: Bacteria; Bacillati; Actinomycetota; Actinomycetes.